GAUGAACGCUGGCGGCGUGCUUAACACAUGCAAGUCGAACGGAAAGGCCCAAGCUUGCUUGGGUACUCGAGUGGCGAACGGGUGAGUAACACGUGGGUGAUCUGCCCUGCACUUCGGGAUAAGCCUGGGAAACUGGGUCUAAUACCGGAUAGGACGAUGGUUUGGAUGCCAUUGUGGAAAGUUUUUUCGGUGUGGGAUGAGCUCGCGGCCUAUAAGCUUGUUGGUGGGGUAAUGGCCUACCAAGGCGUCGACGGGUAGCCGGCCUGAGAGGGUGUACGGCCCCAUUGGGACUGAGAUACGGCCCAGCCUCCUCCGGGGGGCAGCAGUGGGGAAUAUUGCACAAUGGGCGCAAGCCUGAUGCAGCGACGCCGCGUGGGGGAUGACGGCCUUCGGGUUGUAAACUCCUUCCGCUAGGGACGAAGCGUUUUUGUGACGGUACCUGGAGAAGAAGCACCGGCCAACUCCGUGC
RNAcentral lists this ribosomal RNA (469 nucleotides) under uncultured bacterium. RNAcentral describes it as "partial 16S ribosomal RNA". It matches the Rfam family "Bacterial small subunit ribosomal RNA", at positions 28 to 508 of the family's 1533-position model. The record is from RNAcentral.